CCCUACGGGGCGCAGCAGUCGCGAAAACUCCGCAAUACACGAAAGUGUGACGGGGCUAUCCCGAGUGCCGUCCGCUGAGGAUGGCUUUUCUCCAGUGUAACAAGCUGGAGGAAUAAGGAGAGGGCAAGUCUGGUGUCAGCCGCCGCGGUAAUACCAGCUCUCCGAGUGGUAGGGAUGUUUAUUGGGCUUAAAGCGUCCGUAGCCGGCUUAACAAGUCCUCCGUUAAAUCCAGCGAUUCAAUCGUUGGACUGCGGGGGAUACUGUUA
This 266-nucleotide ribosomal RNA is filed under the name uncultured archaeon. Its description in RNAcentral is "partial 16S ribosomal RNA". It matches the Rfam family "Archaeal small subunit ribosomal RNA", at positions 321 to 589 of the family's 1478-position model. The record is from RNAcentral.